This 46-nucleotide non-coding RNA is filed under the name unclassified sequences. RNAcentral's name for it is "SAM-SAH-Weickhmann-2018 RNA". It matches the Rfam family "SAM/SAH riboswitch aptamer". The record is from RNAcentral.
UUACAUGCAACGGCUUCCUGACGCGUGAGUGAUAAUCAUUGGAGCA